AGCAGCCGCGGUAAUUCCAGCUCCAAUAGCGUAUAUUAAAGUUGUUGCAGUUAAAAAGCUCGUAGUUGAAUUUCGGGGUUAGUAGGUUGGUCAUGCCUCUGGUAUGUACUGGUCUCACUGAUUCCUCCUUCCUGAUGAGCCGUAAUGCCAUUAAUUUGGUGUUGCGGGGAAUUUGGACUGUUACUUUGAAAAAAUUAGAGUGUUUAAAGCAAGCUAACGCUUGAAUACAUUAGCAUGGAAUAAUGAAAUAGGACGUUCGAUCCUAUUUUGUUGGUUUCUAGGAUUGGCGUAAUGAUUAAUAGGGAUAGUUGGGGGCAUUAGUAUUCAAUUGUCAGAGGUGAAAUUCUUGGAUUUAUUGAAGACUAACUACUGCGAAAGCAUUUGCCAAGGAUGUUUUCAUUAAUCAAGAACGAAAGUUAGGGGAUCGAAGACGAUCAGAUACCGUCGUAGUCUUAACCAUAAACUAUGCCGACUAGGGAUCGGAUGAUGUUAAUUUUUAAUGUACUCAUUCGGCGCCUUA
RNAcentral lists this ribosomal RNA (520 nucleotides) under uncultured Glomus. Its description in RNAcentral is "SSU rRNA". It matches the Rfam family "Eukaryotic small subunit ribosomal RNA", at positions 569 to 1090 of the family's 1831-position model. The record is from RNAcentral. Lineage: Eukaryota; Fungi; Glomeromycota; Glomeromycetes; Glomerales; Glomeraceae.